RNAcentral lists this transfer RNA (77 nucleotides) under Flavobacterium caeni. RNAcentral's name for it is "tRNA_Asp_GTC". It matches the Rfam family "tRNA". From Rfam's summary of the family: Transfer RNA (tRNA) molecules are approximately 80 nucleotides in length. Their secondary structure includes four short double-helical elements and three loops (D, anti-codon, and T loops). The record is from RNAcentral. RNAcentral also lists the same sequence under 8 other names. Lineage: Bacteria; Pseudomonadati; Bacteroidota; Flavobacteriia; Flavobacteriales; Flavobacteriaceae.
GGUUUGGUAGUUCAGUUGGUUAGAAUGCCGCCCUGUCACGGCGGAGGUCGCGGGUUCGAGUCCCGUCCAGACCGCAA